Non-coding RNA from Vicia faba (fava bean), 204 nucleotides. The record is from the annotation of a GenBank genome assembly. NCBI's taxonomy places the organism in Eukaryota, Viridiplantae, Streptophyta, Magnoliopsida, Fabales, Fabaceae.
AUGUACGAAGAGUUGUUGAGAGAUUUGGUUAUGAAUAAAUAUAUUCCAGGCAUGGAUCAGAAUUGUACUAGGCUAGUUGUUGAUGGAUGUAGGGAUGCAUUAUAUAUGCGAUUUGAGCACGCAGCUGGGAUGCUUAUGGUGUGCAGGCAGGUUCAUAUGUUAAUUGACCCUCAGAGCUUGAAGAGAAUCAUGGAAAUUGGCUGA